RNAcentral lists this ribosomal RNA (253 nucleotides) under uncultured bacterium. Its description in RNAcentral is "partial 16S ribosomal RNA". It matches the Rfam family "Bacterial small subunit ribosomal RNA", at positions 524 to 776 of the family's 1533-position model. The record is from RNAcentral.
UACAGAGGUCUCAAGCGUUGUUCGGAUUCAUUGGGCGUAAAGGGCGCGUAGGCUGCGGGGCAAGUCGGGUGUGAAAUCUCAGAGCUCAACUCUGAAACUGCACUCGAUACUGCUUUGCUUGAGGACUGGAGAGGAGAUUGGAAUUCACGGUGUAGCAGUGAAAUGCGUAGAUAUCGUGAGGAAGACCAGUGGCGAAGGCGGAUCUCUGGACAGUUCCUGAUGCUGAGGCGCGAAGGCCAGGGGAGCAAACGGG